Molecule: long non-coding RNA, 1457 nt
Filed under: Sorghum bicolor (sorghum)
Lineage: Eukaryota; Viridiplantae; Streptophyta; Magnoliopsida; Poales; Poaceae
Description: long non-coding RNA (SBIC_LNC010853)
Source: RNAcentral
UGCAGGAUGUUUUUUUUAGAAAAAAAACGGUCAAAGGUUUAGCAUGCGGAGGUUCCUUGCUAAGCUUUAUACAGCCGAAGGUUAGCUGCCAAAAAAUUAUUUUUCUAGACAAAAGAGUUAUCUAGCUAAGGCUGAAGGCUUACCGAAUCUUUCAAGGAGCAGCUUAAUGUCCCUUUCUUCAUGGAGAUUAUAUAUUAUAAUUUUGAGCUGGUGCAUCUGGUCAGUUAGGAAUGAUCUCAUUUUCAGGGGAGAAGAGGCUUCAGUUCAGAAGUGCAGAAUUCUCUUCAAAAAUACCUUUGCCUUAGUUAUUCUUCGUGCAAAGAAAAGAUAACUCCCCUUAGUUAAUCUAUGGCUAGAGAACCUUUUGUAAUUAAUCUCAUCUUUUUUAUCUCUUUGUUUAUUUCUUGAACUUCGUUGGCGUCUUGCCUUCCCUUCUGCAGCCGUUUUUUUUUCUGGUUUUAAUAUAUCUUCAGUAGGGUGCAAACCCCUCCUGUUUCUUCAAAAAACUUUAGAUGCUUCGUGUGUAUUUUAUUUAUUGAUAAAAAAUGUUGGCUUGGCCGAAGGCUUGUUGGUAGCUUCUAUAGAUAAGCUCUUUUUUUCUUUUUUUUGAAAAAGCUGGUGGUGCUUUAGACGAAGGCGUUAAUGUUGCCAGCUUGUUAUGGAGGUUUAAGGAUAUCUUACCUUCCUCGGAGGUUCUUACCUUCUCUCAAGGGGGGGGGGGGGUUUCUCAUAGGUUAAACCUUUUGGUUUGAUGAUGAAGGAUGUUGAAGAAGACUGCAAGCGAAGGCUUGCCAACGAAUUCUCAACUCAAGCAUCCUCACAUGUUCAAGCCUUUUCUCUUGAAAAAUUUAGUCGUGCCGGGUAUGGUGGGCGCCAAUGUUGGAAAAUGGGGAUCCCAACAGAGAGUGAGGAUGGGGAGCAAGCUCGUUGUGUCUCGACACCCGAGGGUCGGAGGCUUCGCUCGAGGGCGAAGAUCUUUGACUACCAGAGGUACAGAUAUUGAGAUGCGACUUGCACGUUUAUUGAGACAAAUGAUUAAGGUUCAAGUCACUCAAAAUCGUCUCUCCUCAGGGCCGAGAUCUCCUUUUAUAUAGUAUGGUUACAAUAUGUUUAUAGUACAUAAAUGUCUAUGUAGCAACUACGGCAUAUGCCGGAAUAUUCCACUCCACUACAUAUACUCUCGGGGGCACUCAGGUCUUUUACUACUACAGCCCAUUUGGCUAACGGCCCUUGUGGAAUCUAGCAUCUUGGCCCACGAAGAGGUCCAGCUCACAAUCCAUGUGUAGUCUUCAAAGAGCGUCGGUCUUCAUAGAGGCUUUUCUGCCGCUGUCCAUGAGGCAAAGGCUUGUGUCGACUGUUUCACUGGUGUUGAUAUCACACAUCGUGCAAAGGCUUCUUUGCCAUGGUGCGAAGGCUCCUGUUGGCUGUUUCGCCACCUCUUUGUGCUUCGUAUUGCA